This 688-nucleotide ribosomal RNA is filed under the name uncultured Pseudomonadota bacterium. RNAcentral describes it as "bacterial SSU rRNA". It matches the Rfam family "Bacterial small subunit ribosomal RNA", at positions 64 to 747 of the family's 1533-position model. The record is from RNAcentral. Lineage: Bacteria; Pseudomonadati; Pseudomonadota.
UAACAGGAAACAGCUUGCUGUUUCGCUGACGAGUGGCGGACGGGUGAGUAAUGUCUGGGAAACUGCCUGAUGGAGGGGGAUAACUACUGGAAACGGUAGCUAAUACCGCAUAACGUCGCAAGACCAAAGAGGGGGACCCUCGGGCCUCUUGCCAUCGGAUGUGCCCAGAUGGGAUUAGCUUGUUGGUGGGGUAACGGCUCACCAAGGCGACGAUCCCUAGCUGGUCUGAGAGGAUGACCAGCCACACUGGAACUGAGACACGGUCCAGACUCCUACGGGAGGCAGCAGUGGGGAAUAUUGCACAAUGGGCGCAAGCCUGAUGCAGCCAUGCCGCGUGUAUGAAGAAGGCCUUCGGGUUGUAAAGUACUUUCAGCGGGGAGGAAGGGAGUAAAGUUAAUACCUUUGCUCAUUGACGUUACCCGCAGAAGAAGCACCGGCUAACUCCGUGCCAGCAGCCGCGGUAAUACGGAGGGUGCAAGCGUUAAUCGGAAUUACUGGGCGUAAAGCGCACGCAGGCGGUUUGUUAAGUCAGAUGUGAAAUCCCCGGGCUCAACCUGGGAACUGCAUCUGAUACUGGCAAGCUUGAGUCUCGUAGAGGGGGGUAGAAUUCCAGGUGUAGCGGUGAAAUGCGUAGAGAUCUGGAGGAAUACCGGUGGCGAAGGCGGCCCCCUGGACGAAGACUGACGCU